RNAcentral lists this ribosomal RNA (500 nucleotides) under uncultured bacterium. RNAcentral's name for it is "partial 16S ribosomal RNA". It matches the Rfam family "Bacterial small subunit ribosomal RNA", at positions 29 to 523 of the family's 1533-position model. The record is from RNAcentral.
AUUGAACGCUGGCGGCAUGCCUUACACAUGCAAGUCGAACGGCAGCACGGGAGCAAUCCUGGUGGCGAGUGGCGAACGGGUGAGUAAAGUAUCGGAACGUGCCCGGUCGUGGGGGAUAACGUAGCGAAAGUUACGCUAAUACCGCAUACGGUCUAUGGAUGAAAGCGGGGGAUCGCAAGACCUCGCGCGAUUGGAGCGGCCGAUAUCAGAUUAGGUAGUUGGGGGGGUAAAGGCUCACCAGGCCGACGAUCUGUAGCUGGUCUGAGAGGACGACCAGCCACACUGGGACUGAGACACGGCCCAGACUCCUACGGGAGGCAGCAGUGGGGAAUUUUGGACAAUGGGCGAAAGCCUGAUCCAGCCAUGCCGCGUGCAGGAUGAAGGCCUUCGGGUUGUAAACUGCUUUCGUACGGAACGAAAAGGUUUGGCCUAAUAAGCUGAGCUCAUGACGGUACCGUAAGAAUAAGCACCGGCUAACUACGUGCCAGCCGCCGCCGUAA